RNAcentral lists this ribosomal RNA (253 nucleotides) under uncultured bacterium. RNAcentral's name for it is "partial 16S ribosomal RNA". It matches the Rfam family "Bacterial small subunit ribosomal RNA", at positions 524 to 776 of the family's 1533-position model. The record is from RNAcentral.
UACGAAGGACCCGAGCGUUAUCCGGAUUUAUUGGGUUUAAAGGGUGCGUAGGCGGACUUAUAAGUCAGUGGUGAAAGCCCCAAGCUUAACUUGGGAACUGCCAUUGAAACUGUUUGUCUUGAGUACAUUUGAGGCGGGCGGAAUGUGUCAUGUAGAGGUGAAAUUCUUAGAUAUGACACAGAACACCAAUUGCGAAGGCAGCUCGCUAAACUGUAACUGACGCUGAUGCACGAAAGCGUGGGUAGCAAACAGG